This 254-nucleotide ribosomal RNA is filed under the name uncultured bacterium. Its description in RNAcentral is "partial 16S ribosomal RNA". It matches the Rfam family "Bacterial small subunit ribosomal RNA", at positions 524 to 776 of the family's 1533-position model. The record is from RNAcentral.
UACGGGGGGAGCAAGCGUUGUUCGGAUUUACUGGGCGUAAAGGGCGCGUAGGCGGUCGUGACAAGUCACUUGUGAAAUCUCCGGGCUUAACUCGGAACGGUCAAGUGAUACUGUCGGACUAGAGUACAGAAGGGGCAACUGGAAUUCUCGGUGUAGCGGUGAAAUGCGUAGAUAUCUGGAGGAACACCGGUGGCGAAGGCGGCAUCCUGGACCGGCAUUGACGCUGAGGCGCGAAAGCUAGGGGAGCAAACGGG